GACGAACGCUGGCGGCGUGCUUAACACAUGCAAGUCGAACGGAAAGGCCUGCAGCUUGCUGCGGGUACUCGAGUGGCGAACGGGUGAGUAACACGUGGGUGAUCUGCCUUGCACUUCGGGAUAAGCUUGGGAAACUGGGUCUAAUACCGGAUAGGACAGCUGUUUAGUGUCAGUUGUGGAAAGUUUUUUCGGUGCAAGAUGAGCUCGCGGCCUAUCAGCUUGUUGGUGGGGUAAUGGCUUACCAAGGCGUCGACGGGUAGCCGGCCUGAGAGGGUGUACGGCCACAUUGGGACUGAGAUACGGCCCAGACUCCUACGGGAGGCAGCAGUGGGGAAUAUUGCACAAUGGGCGGAAGCCUGAUGCAGCGACGCCGCGUGGGGGAUGAAGGCCUUCGGGUUGUAAACUCCUUUCGACAGGGACGAAGCUUUUGUGACGGUACCUGUAUAAGAAGCACCGGCUAACUACGUG
Molecule: ribosomal RNA, 468 nt
Filed under: uncultured bacterium
Lineage: Bacteria
Description: partial 16S ribosomal RNA
Rfam family: Bacterial small subunit ribosomal RNA
Source: RNAcentral